CUCAUCCUGAUACACCUGUUAACACUUCAAAAAAUGGCACUUUGUCAUUCAACUGUUUUACGUACAAAGUCAUUCAACUGUUUUACGUACAAACUCUUUCGUCACAAUCAGAGAAUUGCAUGAGGCAGACCUCAUGCCACGUACAUUGCGGCCAAGCUUCCAGAUUUAUGAAGUGUUAACAGGUGUAUCAGGAUGAGCACCCCAUUCAGUCCAUGAUCCAUCAUAGACUGCAACAUCUUGCUUCCCAAGUCGAUGCAGACCCAAAGCAAGUAUGCAAGCAGUUACACCAGUCCCACAUGAAGUAACAACAGCGCUUUCCAGAGAGAUGCCCCCUUGAUCAAAUCGUUUCUUAAGUUCAUCAGCUGAUAAGAGGGUCUGUGAAGCAUCUAACAUAUGGGGAAAAGGAAUGCACUUGCUGCCAGGUACAUGACCGCUUCUUAUUCCCUUUCGAGGCUCUGGUGCAGUUCCAUCAAAUCUGGCCUUUGAGCGGGCAUCUAUGUGUUGGUGAGACUUUUCCUCAAUGUUUUUCUUAACCUGCUCAAGAGUCCAAAUAAGAUGUGGCUGAAACUUUGUCUGAAAUGUGAUUGGUCCAAUUGCCUGGCCUUGAUAUACUUUCUCUAUUGCCUCACUGGCAGCACUAGCUUUCAAGAUGGCAUCACCAGAAGCACUAGAUUCAACAUCAUAACCUGAUGCACGCCAUCUUGGCAGGCCUCCAUCUAACACCCAAACUUUGUCAUGCCCAAAUACUCGAAACAUCCACCAGACACGAGCUGCACUAAAGAUUCCCUUGCCAUCAUAAACAACCAAUCCAUCCUUAUUCUCAAUUCCAAGAGCAGAAACAGCAGCUGCAAAAGCUUCCUCAGAGGGCAACAUAUGUGGCAAAUUUGUUGAUCGAUCUGAUAUCCCAUCUACAUCAAAGAAAAGGGCACCAGGAAUGUGAGCAACCUGAUACUCUUGAAUUGGAUUCCUCUUUUCAUCUGGCAUAUACCAUGAAGCAUCCAACACCUUCAUAUCAGGCUCCGUGAGAUUUGCAUGAAGCCAAUCAACAGAUACAACGGGUUCAUUGGUAGAUAAAGAUUGUGCAGAAAAAAGAGCUUUUGAACCAAUCACAGAGGAAGCCAUGACUCGAGGAGCACGACCAGAUGUCUUAUAUGAUGCAUAGACAGGAUCAGCUCGUAUGUGAAAUGGUCUCUUAUUAAAGAGAGAGGUAAAGAUUUGGGUUUUGCGUGAGGAUGAGAGCGCCGAGUGAAUCAAGCGGGAACCCAAUAGAGUCCUGGUGAAAGCUGAUGAUGCCAUUUACUCAAAGAUCAUAGAAAAUAGAUGUGAGGCUAUUUGGUGUGCCAGGUUGUUCAAGAGAAUGAAGCCAAAGGGCAAAAAACUUGAUGAUAGCGAGUGCAGCUUAGUGCUAAGUGAUGAAAUGCUAUACCUUCGAAACGUUUCAGGCCCCUUUUUUUUACCGUUUUUUGUUUUUCGUUUCCGGGCUU
Molecule: unclassified non-coding RNA, 1484 nt
Filed under: Hevea brasiliensis (rubber tree)
Lineage: Eukaryota; Viridiplantae; Streptophyta; Magnoliopsida; Malpighiales; Euphorbiaceae
Source: RNAcentral